This 72-nucleotide transfer RNA is filed under the name Bos taurus (domestic cattle). It matches the Rfam family "tRNA". From Rfam's summary of the family: Transfer RNA (tRNA) molecules are approximately 80 nucleotides in length. Their secondary structure includes four short double-helical elements and three loops (D, anti-codon, and T loops). Further hydrogen bonds mediate the characteristic L-shaped molecular structure. tRNAs have two regions of fundamental functional importance: the anti-codon, which is responsible for specific mRNA codon recognition, and the 3' end, to which the tRNAs corresponding amino acid is attached (by aminoacyl-tRNA synthetases). tRNAs cope with the degeneracy of the genetic code in two manners: having more than one tRNA (with a specific anti-codon) for a particular amino acid; and 'wobble' base-pairing, i.e. permitting non-standard base-pairing at the 3rd anti-codon position. Lineage: Eukaryota; Metazoa; Chordata; Mammalia; Artiodactyla; Bovidae. RNAcentral also lists the same sequence under 3 other names. The record is from Rfam by way of RNAcentral.
UCCCUGGUGGUCCAGUGGUUAGGGCUCUGCACUUCUACUGCAGGGGCAAAGGUUCAAUCCCUGGUUGGGGAA